RNAcentral lists this unclassified non-coding RNA (356 nucleotides) under Hevea brasiliensis (rubber tree). Lineage: Eukaryota; Viridiplantae; Streptophyta; Magnoliopsida; Malpighiales; Euphorbiaceae. The record is from RNAcentral.
AACACAACCAAGUAAAAUAGCCAAUCUUAUAUACUAAUUUCUUUGCCUAGGUCAAACAGUGCUUAAUUCUGGUAUCUAAUCUUAUAAUUUGUUCAAUUCUUGAAGAGGCAUGCCACAUCAUUUCAUCCAUAGUCUGAUGCUGUUACUAGUUCAAUUUACUGAACUAACAUUGUAGGUUAAAUGAUGGAAAGUAUGCACUGGUGUGGCUAUGAUUGUUGUGAACAACAGUUUUUUGAUGAUCAUACUAUUCACUGUAUGACGUAUCUUUGCAGUAGCCCAAUGUCUGAUUAUUUAUACUUGUUUUGCUGUUCUGUCAAUUGAAUUACUACCAGGGCUCAUCACGGAUUUGGUUGGGU